Molecule: ribosomal RNA, 825 nt
Filed under: Tessaracoccus sp.
Lineage: Bacteria; Bacillati; Actinomycetota; Actinomycetes; Propionibacteriales; Propionibacteriaceae
Description: bacterial SSU rRNA
Rfam family: Bacterial small subunit ribosomal RNA
Source: RNAcentral
CUUACCAUGCAGUCGAACGGUAAGGCUCCUUCGGGGGUACACGAGUGGCGAACGGGUGAGUAACACGUGAGUAACCUGCCCUUGACUUCGGGAUAACAUUUGGAAACAGAUGCUAAUACCGGAUAUUCAACUUUGAACACAUGUUUUUGGUUGGAAAGUUCCGGCGGUCAAGGAUGGACUCGCGGCCUAUCAGCUUGUUGGUGAGGUAAUGGCUCACCAAGGCGUCGACGGGUAGCCGGCCUGAGAGGGCGACCGGCCACAUUGGGACUGAGAUACGGCCCAAACUCCUACGGGAGGCAGCAGUGGGGAAUAUUGCACAAUGGGCGAAAGCCUGAUGCAGCAACGCCGCGUGCGGGAUGACGGCCUUCGGGUUGUAAACCGCUUUCAUCCAUGACGAAGCUUUUUGUGACGGUAGUGGAAGAAGAAGCACCGGCUAACUACGUGCCAGCAGCCGCGGUGAUACGUAGGGUGCGAGCGUUGUCCGGAUUUAUUGGGCGUAAAGAGCUUGUAGGCGGUUUGUCACGUCGGGAGUGAAAACUCAGGGCUUAACCCUGAGCCUGCUUCUGAUACGGGCAGACUUGAGGAAGGUAGGGGAGAAUGGAAUUCCUGGUGGAGCGGUGGAAUGCGCAGAUAUCAGGAGGAACACCAGUGGCGAAGGCGGUUCUCUGGACCUUUCCUGACGCUGAGAAGCGAAAGCGUGGGGAGCAAACAGGCUUAGAUACCCUGGUAGUCCACGCCGUAAACGGUGGGUACUAGGUGUGGGGGACAUUCCACGUUCUCCGUGCCGCAGCUAACGCAUUAAGUACCCCGCCUGGGGAGUACGGC